This is a long non-coding RNA of Hibiscus syriacus, 475 nucleotides long. RefSeq lists it as uncharacterized. The transcript is spliced from 2 exons. The record is from RefSeq and is a predicted model, not a curated record. NCBI's taxonomy places the organism in Eukaryota, Viridiplantae, Streptophyta, Magnoliopsida, Malvales, Malvaceae.
UAUGUUAUUGAUUUGGAGAUAUGAAUGAGAAAGCUUAUGAAUAUUUUGAGACGUAAAAUGGAAGAGAUGACAUGGUUUCUCAACAAAAUUAUGAAGUCCCUAGGGAAACGGGUAAGGAUUAUCCUAUUUUGUAAGGUUAACUGUUUGUUGAAUUUUAAUAUAGAGAUCUGAACAGGAGGGGAAGAUAAAGUAGGUUUUACUAUUGUCUUCCUUUGUACAAUCAAACAUCUGUUCACGUAGAAACUUGGAAGCUAAAUGCAACAGUAGUAAGAUUUGCAGGUUGAAUGCCAUGAAUAUGAGACAGUAUCAGUAAUUUCCUUUGCACAUUUUAUCUCUUCAUAUUGAUGUAAGGUCCCAAUCCCUGAAGAAAAGGGUAUUUUGGUGGGGUGUAAUGAUCAACAAGGUUGUGUUAUAUCUUAAAAAGACUUGAACAGGAGCAUAGAUUAGUUUUAUAAAGAUUAUGGUAUAUUUUGAU